RNAcentral lists this ribosomal RNA (502 nucleotides) under uncultured bacterium. RNAcentral describes it as "partial 16S ribosomal RNA". It matches the Rfam family "Bacterial small subunit ribosomal RNA", at positions 30 to 523 of the family's 1533-position model. The record is from RNAcentral.
AUUGAACGCUGGCGGCAUGCCUUACACAUGCAAGUCGAACGGCAGCAUAGGAGCUUGCUCCUGAUGGCGAGUGGCGAACGGGUGAGUAAUAUAUCGGAACGUGCCCUAGAGUGGGGGAUAACUAGUCGAAAGACUAGCUAAUACCGCAUACGAUCUACGGAUGAAAGUGGGGGAUCGCAAGACCUCAUGCUCCUGGAGCGGCCGAUAACUGAUUAGCUAGUUGGUGGGGUAAAAGCCUACCAAGGCAACGAUCAGUAGCUGGUCUGAGAGGACGACCAGCCACACUGGGACUGAGACACGGCCCAGACUCCUACGGGAGGCAGCAGUGGGGAAGUUUGGACAAUGGGGGCAACCCUGAUCCAGCAAUGCCGCGUGAGUGAAGAAGGCCUUCGGGUUGUAAAGCUCUUUUGUCAGGGAAGAAACGGUAGUAGCGAAUAACUACUACUAAUGACGGUACCUGAAGAAUAAGCACCGGCUAACUACGUGCCAGCCGCCGCCGUAA